Molecule: long non-coding RNA, 1523 nt
Organism: Phasianus colchicus (ring-necked pheasant)
Lineage: Eukaryota; Metazoa; Chordata; Aves; Galliformes; Phasianidae
Source: RefSeq, a predicted model, not a curated record
GGGCCUCUGCUUAAGGACAACUUUACUUUGCACAUAUAUAUGUUUUGUGAACUAAAUUAACGUUGAGUGUAGUGGAUAGGCAGGACAGUGGCUGAUGGCACAGCAGUGGCAGGGAAGGAGGCCUUGUCUCCUCCCAGAAUGAGAACUGUUGGCAUCACAAUGUCAGAACUCCACACAGUUGUAUGGUCUGGGGUCAGACACAGCCUGUGAUGGGACGGAGAAGGGAAAGGAAGAGCAGGCACCAUAUUGUGUAGUAGCCCACGGGAUCGUCAACUGCAUCUUAGUACAGGUCGUGUGCUGACUGCUGAGCUGCAAAGCUGUGCCUCCUCAAAGGUCUGCUCUGUCCAUCUCUUCUGUCCUGUGAGCCACUGACCUCCACAUCAAUGGCAGCUGAACAUUAAUGUGAUGAACAAUGCUUUACUUCCAGACAGCCUGCCGCAUGGCUUGGGAGGAGGAAAGAGAGGAAAAACAAAGGUGAAAAAGAGGAUGGCUGGUAUUUACCUGAGCCCUGUGUUCAUGACUCAAUUCCUACUCUGUGCACAUUGCUCUCUAACAGUGAAGGAAAUAGAAUUCUAAUGCUUUCAUAUGCAGUGGAUAUAUCCUUUUCUCUUCUGGAUGGAUAGACAAAUAGGUAGAUGUUUAUGAACAGUUCUUUGUCACAUGGGAUUGUAUAAAUUCCCCUCUGGGAAGUGAAAAAGCUGCAGUGAAGAUUGAUAGCAAUUCCCUGGGAGAGGUAAGCUCUGACUUCUACCAAACUCCUGUUCCCAGUUCUCUCCCAUGGAGGCUGCUGACAUCCAAGCUCUUGCUGCUAGGAUCACACAGUCUUUGAGGGACUGCCUUCUCAUGGUUGGAAAUCUGUGGACACAUGGAAACACUGUGCUAGCUCAAAGUCACUGCGACUCUUGUGUUGUGUGCUGCACAUCAGUUGUAUUCAUGUUGUGUGUGUUCCUGUGGCAAACAUUUUUAUGAAACGAUGUUUUCAUCACAGAAGCUAAAAGUAGGAUGACUUUCUCCAUUGCAGUGCAAGUAUUUUCUUUAUAAACUUGUUUAUUACUUAUCUCUGGGUUUAAAAGAAAAAGAGAGGGGGAGAGAGAAACAGAUACUAGUUUUCUGCUGCCCAUACAACACCAUUCUGUUUCCUUGCUUGAUUUGUGUUGGUUUUAUUUCAUCUUGUAAGGCUGGAGGUUUUUUUUUGCUCAGUUGUAGGUUAUUCUGGUGAGGGGGAGAUGAAGGUGCACUAAUUCAUCUGUGCUUCUGUAGAAGAAAUAAGAGGGAAGGGACUGUAACAAACUCAAACCAGAACACAUCCUUAUAGUGUAACCAUUAGAAUAUAAGUGGCCUGAAGUUAAAGAGAGUUUACACAGCCAAUUGUCCACUUAGGAAAGUGUAUAUAAUGUCAGUCUGAAUGAGAAUAAAGUCAUGCUAGGUGGGGAAUCAGUGGGAGAAUUAAACGUAUUCUCAGAGAUGUUAUGACUGAGUGGGUCAUAAAGUUUCAGAAGUUCAAUUUCGCUGUUAAGACCAAU